Non-coding RNA from Leptonychotes weddellii (Weddell seal), 1409 nucleotides. The record is from RefSeq and is a predicted model, not a curated record. Lineage: Eukaryota; Metazoa; Chordata; Mammalia; Carnivora; Phocidae.
UUAAAGGUUUAGAGAGCAGAUUUCCCGAGACUCUUUCCUCCCACUGUUGGGACGGCAGUGUUGCAUUUUAGAAAGAAGAGUUGACUGGGUGUCAGAUAGACCUGAGCGUGAACCCCAGCUCUGCCACAUAAGCCUCUCCGGACCUCAGUUUGCUCAUCAGUCAAAUAAGUCCUCUAGACUUUUCCAGUUCUAAUCAGGCUGUUCUCUGCCAGGGUUUGGCGAGGGCUGCUGUCAAACCAGGAGGGACGUGAGCAACGAGCAAGCCCCUGAGCUGUGCCCGCCCGUGCUGUCUGCAACUGUGGGGCCACAAGCCGUGGAUCUUGGCACUCUCCCCACCCCACCGGAUCCCCCAAGCCACUCCAAACCCUGCUCCUGUCCCGCAUACCUCUCAGUCUAGAUCUCCAACUGAACAUCUGCACUAAGACAUCAGAGUUGACAUUUAAGAAGAGCAGUUCUUUCGGAGAGAAUGCCCCAGCUUUAGACAUCCGGUGACCGGCCAGUCCCCGUUCCAGGCUAGCCGGCUCGGCCUCUUGCUCAUUUCAUGAACAGAGCACCGUUUGCUGGGGUGUUCUGCUCAUUUUCCAGCUUGACAACAGAGCACCUUGUGCAGGCAAAUGUAUCAGGGAAUGUGGCUGAAUGUGUAUCUGAGCUCAGCAAAGUAUUUCAUGAAGACGUGUAAUGCCUUUGGACGAGACUGAGAAAUUUUCACUAAAUGUCCAACUAAGAGUCUCCUGCAACCUGUAAUAGUUCCUCAAGACCAGAUGGGUUAACUGCAUGUAUGUUCUGGAUUGAGAUUUUGGACAUGAGGAUUCUCCUGACUCUGUGACUAUUCAUGCAUGGUGGGCAAGCCAUUCACCUUUCCUCAACCUUGGUUUUCUUCUCUGUAAAAUGUCAAGAGUAGAAGACAUCAUCUCUACUUAAAGGCCGCAGUUGGAGAGCUGGCACCCUAUAGCUACAUUGAAGAGAUUCUUCAAAGAUAUAAACAUACAAGUACAGGAAAAUAGGAGAGAUGACAAGAGCAAUGAAAUUUUGGAAGCUGGAAAGUACAUGGACAAGUAGUAACUGAUUUAACAACAGACCCAAGAAAGUUGGCUUCGAACUGUAGAAUCUUCAGGAGGCUCAGGAAUUGGCAGCAUCAGGAUACUCAUUUCAUCUCACCAAACUUUCUGCUUAACCCUGUAUCUGAGAGCUGGAGGGGGUGCUUACCAAAAACAAGGCCCAAUGGCUGGAUAUUUGCUCCUGGAAACAGCUCCCCCAGGCUGUUCCUGCUGCCUAGAAUUUCUUCUGUCUUUUCCCUGAGGCUUUGUCCUCAUGGCAAACUUCAAGGCCAACAAAAGACAAAGGCAGAGGCAAGGCUGCCGCUGGAUAAAUGAGAAAGACACAGCAAGAGAGGGAACACAAACGGGGAG